Molecule: small RNA, 1956 nt
Filed under: Arabidopsis thaliana (thale cress)
Lineage: Eukaryota; Viridiplantae; Streptophyta; Magnoliopsida; Brassicales; Brassicaceae
Description: ATSL274030
Source: RNAcentral
AUGUAACAAUGCAACAAUGAAUUGGCAACGACGCCAAAUUGAUAAGCAGGUUUUUCAGGUCUGCUUAUGUUGUAUGUGUGUGAGAUUCAGUUCAAUGCUCCUAAAACAUAAACAUGUCGAUGUAGUUAUAAGGGGUGUCAAUCCAGUCCACUGUAUUGCUAGCAAUCAAGAUGUGUACAGAAACUACUAAGUCAAGCCAGAUUAUAAUGAUGGUGGGUUUUUAGUAACAAUCCUAUGUGAGGAUUCAAACAAGUAAAAAUAAGAACUUAAAAGCCCUACUCGAUCAUUGGGUCGAGUAGAACCAACAGGUGACAAAAUUAAGAAACCUAAAUGCAAUCAACAGGGGAUAUAAAUAGGGGAUUCAAAUAACAGGUAAAUAAAAGUGCAAUCAACAAGGGAUACAAAUAAAUCUAAUAGAAGUUCUAAGGAUGGAUUCAUUGAUAAGGGCAACUCUAGGUUUCACCAAUUGGCUAAUAGGCGAAAGGUAGAUACCCAUGACGAUAGAUUCAAAAACCGGAUCAAUCCACUCUCGUGACAGAGACCCCCAUAACUCUACCACUUCCUAUCUCAACUCUCGUUGAUAAAACAUAGCAGAGCAGGGUUUAAGAAACAAUAUACCAAAGCCAAUAGGUAGACAAGCCAAUCCCUUGGUCGAGUCUACAAAUCUCUGGAAUUCGUAGGUCAGACAUCCAUUUGAACGUCUUUUGGACGUUGGACGUCUAUGAUCGAAUCUCCACAUUAGUCAGCAAAAACCGCAUAGGGGCCAAGCGAAUCCAGAAGGGUAUAAACCUAAAGACUAACCACCUAACUAACCUAGAGAUUACCCUAAUCUAAUCCAUACUCAAGAACCCUAAUCACCACUCAAGCAACAUUAUCAAGAACACAAACCCAGAAAUUACAAAAAUCAUACCAAAAUGUAGAUCUAAACAAGCUAAACAACUUUACUUAAACAAUCAAAUGCAAACACGAAAUAGAUUAAGAGUAAUUAAGGUUUUAAGAUUCAUAAACACAAAGAAAAACUGAAAGAUAAAGCAUAGAUCCUUUGGACAAAUCCCAAAGUGAUCUAUUUAUACUAAAAUGUUGGAAACCCUAGAUUCACUAGAAGACAAGAGACUUGAGGCGGUUUGGACGAAUACUCGAUCUUGGGGAUCGAGUAAAGAGGGUGCUGCAAAGUCUGCGCCUUUGUUUCUAUGCUCCGAGUGAUCAAUUGGUCGAGUAGAUGCUUCAUCCUCUCCUAUCUGUAUGCUCAGAUGUCUGGUUAAGUGGGGAAUGAGGAGGAUGCGAAGACGCUUUGAUAGCUCAACAAGUCUUGUAGAGAUGGUCACCCUUGGUCGAGUAAAUGGAUCGAGUAGGAGAGACGAGUAGAUCAAUCUGCUGCUUCAUCUGAGGUUGCCUUGAUCGAGUAGGAGGGUCGAGUAAACUGCAGCCUUCUCUGUGGCAUCCUUGAUCGAGUAAAGAGGUCGUCGAGUAAACUGCAUCCUCCUCUAUAGUUGCCUGGGUCGAGUGAAUGGAUCGAGUAGAGUCCUUUUUAGCUCCUUCUGCACCUGAAAACACACCAAAACAUGCAAUGCAUAUGCAAGAUGAUCCUAGAUGCCUAAGUAUGCAAAAUAAGCUAAAAUGUUGCAAAAUAAUAUGAUACAAUGAGCAAAUGCAAAGGUAAAUGAUGAUAAACAUACACACCUAAAAUGAGUAAAAUACAGUGUUAUUAGUGAUCAAGUGCUGGAUCUUUUAUUUCAUCUGGCCAAGUAUAAAACAGCUCGUUUACAUCAUCCUUCAUAACCAUUUUAUGCACACGCAGUUACAACACAAGAGAUUAUAAAACCCAUCAAUAUGUUCAAAGUCAGUCAUCAAUAAGUAUAACUCAGACAUUGCUUAACAAUAAUUCAACCAUCACUAAACCACAACUAAGUCAUAACUAAACAAUAUAAGACAAACAUCAUAUAAGAAUAACCCAAA